This 253-nucleotide ribosomal RNA is filed under the name uncultured bacterium. RNAcentral describes it as "partial 16S ribosomal RNA". It matches the Rfam family "Bacterial small subunit ribosomal RNA", at positions 524 to 776 of the family's 1533-position model. The record is from RNAcentral.
UACAGAGGUCUCAAGCGUUGUUCGGAUUCAUUGGGCGUAAAGGGCGUGUAGGCGGUCCGCUAAGUCUGAUGUGAAAGCCCGGGGCUCACCCCCGGAAGUGCAUUGGAAACUGGCGAACUCGAGUCCCGGAGAGGAGAGUGGAAUUCCUGGUGUAGCGGUGAAAUGCGUAGAUAUCAGGAGGAACACCGGUGGCGAAGGCGGCUCUCUGGACGGUGACUGACGCUGAGACGCGAAAGCGUGGGGAGCAAACAGG